UACAGAGGUGGCAAGCGUUGCUCGGUAUCACUGGGCUUAAAGGGCGCGUAGGCGGUGCGGUGCGGUUCCGGUGAAAUCCCUCGGCCCAACCGAGGAACAGCCGGGGCUACGGCCGCGCUCGACGGCAUCAGGGGACAGUGGAACUCCCGGUGGAGCGGUGAAAUGCGUAGAUAUCGGGAGGAACGCCGGUGGCGAAAGCGACUGUCUGGGGUGCUUGUGACGCUGAGGCGCGAAAGCCAGGGGAUCAAACGGG
Molecule: ribosomal RNA, 253 nt
Filed under: uncultured bacterium
Lineage: Bacteria
Description: partial 16S ribosomal RNA
Rfam family: Bacterial small subunit ribosomal RNA
Source: RNAcentral